RNAcentral lists this ribosomal RNA (551 nucleotides) under uncultured bacterium. RNAcentral describes it as "bacterial SSU rRNA". It matches the Rfam family "Bacterial small subunit ribosomal RNA", at positions 8 to 535 of the family's 1533-position model. The record is from RNAcentral.
AGAGUUUGAUCCUGGCUCAGAGCGAACGUUAGCGGCAGGCCUAACACAUGCAAGUCGCACGAGAAUCCGGCUUCGGCCGGUAGUAAAGUGGCGGACGGGUGAGUAACACGUGGAUAAUCUGCCCUUCGGCGGGGGACAACAGUCCGAAAGGAUUGCUAAUACCGCAUACGUCAGCGAGCUCUUCGGAGCUUGUUGGGAAAGAUGGCCUCUUCAUGAAAGCUAUCACCGAAGGAUGAGUCCGCGGCCCAUCAGCUAGUUGGCGGUGUAAUAGACCACCAAGGCUAAGACGGGUAGCUGGUCUGAGAGGAUGAUCAGCCACACUGGAACUGAGACACGGUCCAGACUCCUACGGGAGGCAGCAGUGAGGAAUAUUGGGCAAUGGGCGCAAGCUUGACCCAGCCAUGCCGCGUGAGUGAUGAAGGCCUUCGGGUCGUAAAGCUCUGUGGGGAGGGAAGAAACCGCUUGCCGAUAAUACCGGCGAGUCUUGACGGUACCUCCUUAGCAAGCACCGGCUAACUCCGUGCCAGCAGCCGCGGUAAUACGGAGGGUGC